AGAAUUAUAACAUUGGUUGGUCUCGAAGAGUCAUGCAGCAGACACACGUGUUCAAGGUCCACGCUUCACCUUUGCUCUUACAAUUCCUUUCGACACACCAUUUCAAGGUAACCUUGCUCUCAUCUAAAUAUGANNNNNNNNNNAAGAAUGAUAACAUGGUUGGUCUCGAAGAGUCAUGCAGCAGAUGCACCUGUGCAAGGUCCACGCUUCACCUUUACUCUUACAAUCCCUUUCGACACACCAUUUCAAGGUAACCUUGCUCUCAUCUAAAUAUGAGACGGGCGAAGUCACAUUGGCAUGGCUAUCUUCAUCGGUGCAUUCGGGCUCGGAACAGC
Molecule: long non-coding RNA, 335 nt
Filed under: Hordeum vulgare
Lineage: Eukaryota; Viridiplantae; Streptophyta; Magnoliopsida; Poales; Poaceae
Description: long non-coding RNA (HVUL_LNC002161)
Source: RNAcentral